This 449-nucleotide ribosomal RNA is filed under the name uncultured bacterium. RNAcentral describes it as "partial 16S ribosomal RNA". It matches the Rfam family "Bacterial small subunit ribosomal RNA", at positions 338 to 795 of the family's 1533-position model. The record is from RNAcentral.
CCUACGGGUGGCUGCAGUAAGGAAUAUUGGUCAAUGGACGAAAGUCUGAACCAGCCAUGCCGCGUGGAGGAUGAAGGUCCUAUGGAUUGUAAACUUCUUUUAUAUGGGACGAAAAAAGGCCUUUCCAGGUCGUCUGACGGUACCAUAUGAAUAAGCACCGGCUAACUCCGUGCCAGCAGCCGCGGUAAUACGGAGGGUGCAAGCUUUAGCCGUAUUCACUGGGCUUAAAGGGGUUGGUAAGGGAGUGGUGAAAUCCCCUAGCUUAACUUGGGAACUGCCAGUGAUACUAUCAGUCUUGAAUACCGUGGAGGUCAGCGGAAUAUGUCAUGUAGCGGUGAAAUGCUUAGAUAUGACAUAGAACACCAAUUGCGAAGGCAGCUGGCUACACGAGUAUUGACACUGAGGCACGAAAGCGUGGGGAUCAAACAGGAUUAGAUACCCGGGUAGUC